CUCCGUUCCUGGUUCAAGCCAAGCUCCAGUCCCUUCCCUGGUCUCAGUGGGAUCAGUUUGUUCUGUUCUCAUCCACUUACAGAAACAGAAGCUACCAACCCACCAAACCCUGGGACAGACAUCCUUAACCUCUUCAGCCCCGUCCGCCCUGGCUUCUUGGACUCCCACAGUUUCUAGGAGGACCACCAUCACCAUCCCAGGAUCCCCAUAUCCCACCGACGAGGAACCCCGCAGCAAUCCACAUCUCAGGAUGGGGCUCCAGCUUUGCCCGAAUGCGUUCAUUAAAGAGAGGAGAAUGAAUGAGCCUAAGGGGGCACCUUUCCUCCUGACAUUGCCCACCGCCUGCGUGUUGGCUGUGCCGUGCCAGCAGCAUUUUGUCCUCGAGCUGUGAGUGCAGCCUGCAGGACGGCACGGAGCGCUGACAGAACCAGGACACAGCGCCAUAGCAGGCACUGCAAAGGAAACAGCUCCAUCCCAGCCGCAACAGUGACAGGCAGGCAGGCACUGGGGAGGGCUGCACGGCAGAGGGACGCCCUCUGAGUGCCACAUCAGGAGAACCUGGAGUGCUGUCUGCAAGCAGAACAGUGCCGGGAUGGCAGCCUGGUGGUCCUAAGCUGCAGAGAUGCUGCUCUGGACCAACAGCCUGUCAUUUUUUCAGAAAACGCC
This 666-nucleotide long non-coding RNA is filed under the name Gallus gallus (chicken). Its description in RNAcentral is "lncRNA (ENSGALG00010028945.1)". Lineage: Eukaryota; Metazoa; Chordata; Aves; Galliformes; Phasianidae. The record is from RNAcentral.